Molecule: non-coding RNA, 2518 nt
Organism: Taeniopygia guttata (zebra finch)
Lineage: Eukaryota; Metazoa; Chordata; Aves; Passeriformes; Estrildidae
Source: RefSeq, a predicted model, not a curated record
AGAAUAUCCAGAGUCAGAAUGCAGCCAGAACAAUGAGGUUGUGAAAUGUAGAGGGCCAUGUCUUUAGCUGUUAUUAAUCUGAGAUCAGCUGUUCUCUAGCCACGCUAAAUCUGUUAUGGGAUGGAUACAGAAUGUUCCAUUGUUGGCAUAAAAAUGGUUAAUUCUGAAUAAGAGUUUUCAUUUCCUUUUAUCUGGCCCAGGGACUAAAAAAAGGGAUGUUUUAAAAACUAAACUGGAGAGUUAAGGCCAGAAUUAGGAGGACAAUUUCUGUCAGUGCCUUUCUAAGACAGCAAUGUGACUUCUGAGGCACCUAUGUUUGCAGACUUUUAAAAUAUUGCAACAUACAGUCUUAGCAGAAGCACAGAAGACUUUUUUUUAAACUUCAUGUCAUAUCUCAUCACAUUAUGGAGGCCUGUGCUGCAUAAUGUAAUGAGAUGCACAUUUAACACACAGAGCUUUUCUUGUGAUAUCAAACAGGAGAGAGUCUUAGGGAGCAAAUUAGGUCAUUCACUGCUGAACUAACUGGUCAGCAAACUGAUGUAAUGACUGUUUUCAAGUUUGCUCUUGAAUUUGCCACUUUCCUGCCUCCCCUUAAAUCAGGCAGAAAAUAGAGCUGUGUCAAAAAUUAGGUACUUCCAAAGAAAUUGUUCCCCUUUUUGUUCCAUUUUCUUUGGCAUUCAUCAUAGGGAAAGGAAAGGAAAAAAAAAAGUCCUUUUACCUAGGAUAUUUUCACCACUUUGAGCGUAAGUGAAAAGCAGCUUUUGUCAGCAAAGUGCUUUUUGCUGCCUGAUGGGUAAUGUAAUGUGUGAGUCAGUGUGGAAGAGGAGUUGAAGGUCAAAGCUGUAAGAGUACUUGCAGUGUCACUUGGUGUCCUGAUCUGGAUGUUAUGCAUGUAAUUUUUGUAGCUCACUGUCAAAGAAGGGAAAUCAUCCCACAACUGGAAGUUUGCAAGAGUUUUGAAGAAUAAGUUUAGAAAAAUGACUCUUUCAAAAUGUGCCAAAAAUACUAAAAAGAUUAAUUACUUGAUUCUGUUUCCCAUAGGGUGUGUAGAAGUUUUCACAUUUCAUUCUCUGAACACCAGCACCCAUUUUCUCCAUUUGUAAAAGCUUACAAUAAACUUUGAAGGGUGAAAUACUGAUGAGUUUUGCCACUGCCUUGGUGAAGCUCAGAUUUAUCCAGAAAGAACUCACAGAGAAAAGUAGGGCUUGCAAGACAGCAAGACAGUAACAGAAAGUUUAAAGCACUUGAAAAGUCCUUGUGAGUUCCUUUAGCAGACAUAGCCAUUAUGAAAGCAUUUUCAGAUGAGAUUCUCUCUUGGAAAAUAUUGCUGAAAAUACCCUGUUUGUUUUUCAGCAACAUUAACCUUUUAAAAACCUUUUAAAAAUACCACUUAUGCUCUAAAAUGAAGUGUGCCUAUGCACACUGGUUUUCCUGUUUUCAGCAGAAAGGCCUUAGUUGGUUUUUUUUUUUUUUUAACAUCAAAAAGGUAGAAUGAAAGGUUCCUUUAAAGAACCUUAGCUUAUUUACCCUGCACAACUGGACAUUAGUAAUUUUACCCAAUCUUUUCACUGACUGGUUUUGUAGCUUGGCUUAAAAAUAUUGUUUUUGACAUUUAAAGCCUGUAAUUGACUAGGUCUCAACAAAGUCCCUUACUGAGCUUCUGGCACUCUGCAUACCACUUCCUUCUUUUGGGUCAAAAGGGGCAAAACUCUUGUAUUUGAAGGUCUGCAGAAGCAGAAAGGGCAGUGUUAACGUUUCUGCAUGUUCAGCUAAAGAUCACAGACCAGUCACCUAGCUGACUUUUCCCAGGAUUGUGUAUUUCUGUUUAAGGAGGAAUUGCAAUCCCUUUUGUUUCUAGGAGCUCUGAAAGGACAUUGUUUAACCUAGUAUUUCAAAACCUUUUUGAAAUUUGUGAUAAAUUGCAAUAAUGUUGGUUUUUUUUAACUUUUCAGAAUGUGAAAACCUGUAAUCAAAGGGAAACAGCAUACAUUUACCUCAGCUCCUAGUGUAAUUUCACUUGAUUGAUUCCACAGCUCCUAAAUGCUUUUCCUCAGAAAUGGAUCCAGCAUAAUUUUUCAGGCUUCCUGUCUUGUAGAGUUUUGCUCAUCUGGGAUCUGCCCUUGUAACUGUCUCAGCAUGUGACUAAAUCAACUGGAUUUCUUGUGUAGAAGCUCUUCACGCUUCUGAACCCAAAUAGACAGACCCCACAAAGAUUGAUGGGGUCAGUUUUACAGAAGUUUUCUCUAUUUUGGCAAGAUAAAUUGUGGAAAAUGGCCAGGAAGGAUACCUCAGAAAAGUUCCAUGAAUGUUUGUCAUAAUAACAAUGACAAUUAUAAUAGUUACAGACCUGGAAGACAGAUAUAACCAUGGGGAGCAAGCUUACAGACUGCUCAGGAGAAUACAUAGAAUAGUUCCCUUCUCACCCCAAAACCUGGGAGAUAAAAUCAACCAAGUGAAGAGCUAAGCAAAUGAAAACUCAAGGAAAAGAAAAAAGGGAAAGAAGGAAAGAAGAUAGAUA